AGAAUCAACGCUGGCGGCGUGCCUAACACAUGCAAGUCGAACGAGAAAGUGGAGCAAUCCAUGAGUAAAGUGGCGCACGGGUGAGUAACACGUGACUAACCUACCCUUGAGUGGGGGAUAACCUAGGGAAACCUGGGCUAAUACCGCAUAAUACCUUCGGGUCAAAGGAGCAAUUCGCUUAAGGAGGGGGUCGCGGCCGAUUAGUUAGUUGGCGGGGUAAUGGCCCACCAAGACGAUGAUCGGUAUCCGGCCUGAGAGGGCGCACGGACACACUGGAACUGAAACACGGUCCAGACUCCUACGGGAGGCAGCAGUGGGGAAUUUUGCGCAAUGGGGAAACCCUGACGCAGCAACGCCGCGUGGAGGAUGAAGUCCCUGGGACGUAAACUCCUUUCGAUCGGGACGAUAAUGACGGUACCGGAAGAAGAAGCCCCGGCUAACUUCGCGCCAGCAGCCGC
This 458-nucleotide ribosomal RNA is filed under the name uncultured bacterium. RNAcentral describes it as "SSU rRNA". It matches the Rfam family "Bacterial small subunit ribosomal RNA", at positions 26 to 518 of the family's 1533-position model. The record is from RNAcentral.